GGAAGGUGCAAGCGUUACCCGGAAUCAUUGGGCGUAAAGCGUCCGCAGGCUGUUUGUUAAGUUGGGUGUUAAAUUUUGCAGCUCAACUGCAAAACUAUAUCCAAAACUAGCAAACUUGAGUAUUGCAGAGGUACGUGGAAUUCUGUGUGUAGGGGUAAAAUCCGUAGAUACACAGAGGAACACCAAAAGCGAAGGCAGCGUACUGGGCAAUUACUGACGCUCAGGGACGAAAGCGUGGGUAGCGAACGGGAUUAGAUACCCCGGGUAGUCCACGCCGUAAACGAUGGAUACUAGGUGUUGGGAGACUCGACCCCUCUCAGUGCCGACGCUAACGCAUUAAGUAUCCCGCCUGGGGAGUACGGUCGCAAGAUUA
RNAcentral lists this ribosomal RNA (373 nucleotides) under uncultured organism. RNAcentral's name for it is "partial 16S ribosomal RNA". It matches the Rfam family "Bacterial small subunit ribosomal RNA", at positions 527 to 896 of the family's 1533-position model. The record is from RNAcentral.